This 189-nucleotide small nuclear RNA is filed under the name Lachancea kluyveri NRRL Y-12651. Its description in RNAcentral is "U2 spliceosomal RNA". The stretch from base 1 to 119 matches the Rfam family "U2 spliceosomal RNA". Rfam says of the family: U2 is a small nuclear RNA (snRNA) component of the spliceosome (involved in pre-mRNA splicing). Complementary binding between U2 snRNA (in an area lying towards the 5' end but 3' to hairpin I) and the branchpoint sequence (BPS) of the intron results the bulging out of an unpaired adenosine, on the BPS, which initiates a nucleophilic attack at the intronic 5' splice site, thus starting the first of two transesterification reactions that mediate splicing. The record is from Rfam by way of RNAcentral. Lineage: Eukaryota; Fungi; Ascomycota; Saccharomycetes; Saccharomycetales; Saccharomycetaceae.
AUAAAUCUCUUUGCCUUUUGGCUUAGAUCAAGUGUAGUAUCUGUUCUUUUCAGUGUAACAACUGGAAUGUCCUCAACGAGGGCGUUACGCUAAGUUACAGCCCACUUUUUGGAACCUUAGGGAGAAGAAGGCUCGGAAUCGUCGCUGGGUGGCGCAUCGGCAAUACGGAGCUACCUGGAUGCAGGCCUG